UGAAAGUCAUUGUGAAUGCCGGGGAUUUCCUGGCCGGUUGGCAACUUCACAACCUAACUCAAGAUCCAGUACAGCUGGGCUCCUUCCUUGUUAAGCUCAUUCUCCCAGUGGAUCCUGCCACCCUCCUUGGCCACAGCUCUCCUGAAGAGCAGUACAUCCUCAAUGGAUCACGCGGUCCUGAGUCCCUGUGUUAGCUUCUGCUUCUGGAGAGCCUACCAGAGUGGUACCGGGAGCAAGUUAUGCAAUCUGCAUCCAUCCAUACCUCGGCUGGAAAUUCAGUCACACCUCUUAAGAGUGCUGUCUGGAUCAACUGAGUUGAUACUCGUGAGGAAUAUUCUCAAAGAUAACUUCGUGGCUCACCUUUCCGGUAAAUGUCAUCUCUCAUAAGACAGAGGAAGUGGUAACAUCUGACUCUCAUUGUCACCAAUGUGGAAGAAAUGGCUGAUGAAAUAAAAAACAAAAGGAC
Canis lupus familiaris (dog) is the source of this 466-nucleotide long non-coding RNA. RefSeq lists it as uncharacterized. NCBI's taxonomy places the organism in Eukaryota, Metazoa, Chordata, Mammalia, Carnivora, Canidae. The transcript has 3 exons. The record is from RefSeq and is a predicted model, not a curated record.